CUUGAGAUUUUGGCGCAGGGGUUUCGGCGAUUAUUUUUAACCGAAAGCGAGCAACAAACAUUUGGUCGGCGCACUCAAUGAAAAUAUUUUCGCUAAAUCCACAAAAUGCCGAAUUCCAUAAAUUCUUCGCGGCCCGUUUGUGCGAGAGCGGGAGAGAAUAAAUAAGUUAGCGGGCGAGCGGAAACGAGAUGGAGAACGGCACUAUUUUGGCAAUUGCAGCAUCCGCGGAAAUCUCUAUUUCUAUAAUUAUUAUUCUGCUUUGCGUUGUGGCACUUGGAAAACAAAUGAACUACACUUGCCGCGAUCACUCACUCGGAUUUCGGUUUUGUUUCGUUUUAAUUUUUCGAUAUUCUCGUUCACGCUAAAAUCGAAAAACCGAAAAUCGAGAAUCCCGCGCGGCGGUGAGAGAAAAACACGGAGAGCUCCGGCUGCCGCUCAAUCGGAAGAGAAAAAACAAACUGGCAAAAGCAGCGGUAAAUCCAAUGCAUUUGCGGGCAGCGCGACGGCAGCGCAGUCGCCGCUGUAUUGAAAACAAAAUGGCAUUUUCUUGCAUCGCGCCAUCUCCCUCGCACGGCAGUCAUAUGACCGCAGCGGGAGCGAGACGACUGGUGUGCGGCAGUUGCCAAGCACCGCCCACUUGAUUGCUGCCGCAUUCAGCGUUGUGUUGUUGUUUCCAGGUUUCCAACUAACGAUGCCACAUCGGUGUGAAAAUAAAAUGGAGUGCGUCUCAAUUGUGUCCUCAAGUAGACGAAACUCCUGCUGUUUCUCUCUGAUUUUAAAGUUCGACAAACAGAUUGAAAGGAAUUCGCAUUCAUCCGGGGCCUUCUACUUCGUCCUUUUGUUCCUCGCCUUGCCUUUCCGCAAUGAAAAGUAUGCGCCAACUGUGUCAACAGUGUUUGCAGUGCCCCCGCAAUCCUUGUUUUCCAGUCCCCUUCCCAGCCCCUCAGCCCUCCUCAACCGAGAAGUUUCCGUAUUGAUAAUAAUCUGAUUGCAAAUGAAUACAAUUUAUUGUGCUGUUCAUUCGCCUUCAUUUCGCCGCGGAUUGUGUGUUGACAAGGUGUGGAUGCGAAAAAGUGAAAGACUGGUCUACUACACCUUUAAUUGUUAGAUUUUUGAUAGAAACGUGUAAGAAAGGUGAAAAAUCUGUGGUUUAUAUCGCAAUAGAAGACAUCGUGCUAGGAUGGAAAACAGUUCAAAAACGGCGCUCUGAGGAUCUGCACUUCCAUUCUUCCAUUUUCAAAUUCCGGAAAAAUCACAUGUUUUUUUUGUGACAACUAAUUAAUUUUGUUAUUUAUGUUUUUCGCUUUGUCUUUACUAAAUAUGCAAAACGUGUUUUACGUUAGACGUUAGCAGGGUCUUAUAAAAUGUUGUGAAUAAACUUCUAAAAUUAAGAAGGAAAUAAUGUUCAUUCGGAAAAACUACUUAAGAAAAACUUUUCCAGUAACAAAAGACAUGGCCGACGGGACUUUAGGAGGGGAUUAUUUGAGGGAUUCUCAAAGUAUUUAAGAUAGUCAGCCUUAUAGAUGGUCAUCAAUACAAAUAUAAAGGAAACACAAGAGGUGAAAACUAAACUUAUGACAAUUAAAUAUUAUACAUACAUAUGUACAUAAAAUUAUUAGAACUAUAAUUAUUCUAAAAAUACAUAUUAACGAAGCCUAAUAAAACGCAGUGAACCAAAUUAAUCAAAAUAUUUGUUUUUAGCAUUAAUUAAUUCAAUCAUUUAACAUUAACAUAAUGAGUUAUAAAUCUCAUUGACCAAAAACAUUUUAAUAAACUGCAAAACUCUAAUCUAAAUACUUUUUACAGACCCUAAAACUAUGCAACAAAAAUAUAUUAAAAAUGAAUACCUACUCCACUUUAAUCUUAUACCUUUUGACCCAUUUCUAAAUCACAAACCAACAGAUUAAAAACAAUUAUUAAAGUACAAAACAUACGCGCAAAUAUUUAUUUUUUACGAGUUUCCAAAUAAAUUUGACUCUAGGCAGUCUUCCCGUACAUUUUUCUCGUUGUUUAACAACUUCGCAGCAUGUUA
Drosophila yakuba is the source of this 2032-nucleotide long non-coding RNA. RefSeq lists it as uncharacterized. The record is from RefSeq and is a predicted model, not a curated record. The transcript has 2 exons. NCBI's taxonomy places the organism in Eukaryota, Metazoa, Arthropoda, Insecta, Diptera, Drosophilidae.